UUUACCCUACAGAUUAUCGGAAGCUCGAUUGGGUUAGAAGCUUGUCGGAGAUAUAUCACACUAUCCAUUGGUUCUAUCGGUAAUUUUGGAAGAUUUGAUUCUAGUUGUAAUGGCAUGUGUAGUAACCAAUUUUGCCCCAGGCCCAAUCUAAAACCCAAAAUAAAUAAACCAUCUACAUUUUUUAAAACCCAAUUACAAUACAACCCAAAAUAGAGACCCAAACCCAAUAAACUAAACCUAGCCCGAAAAAAAACAAAAAAUAAGAGAAAACCUAAGCAGAAAAACCAGCAGCAGCCACCCUCAACAGCAGCCAUGCUCAUCGCCGGCCCUUGCGCCUUUCCUCGCACGUGCUCCCACGAUCACCUGCAAACAC
Molecule: long non-coding RNA, 373 nt
Filed under: Gossypium raimondii (Peruvian cotton)
Lineage: Eukaryota; Viridiplantae; Streptophyta; Magnoliopsida; Malvales; Malvaceae
Description: long non-coding RNA (GRAI_LNC002332)
Source: RNAcentral